CUACACCACCUUUCCCACCCAUUUCAUCUUCUUCUUUAACCUUAUCCCCACCAAUUUUCACCUCCAUUUUUCUGGAUUUUUUUUCUAUUUUACAUCGAAAUUUUCUAUUUUUCUUCGUACUCAGAAAUCGAGAAGAAUAGGAUCAAUUCUCACUGGUCUUCAUUCUGUAAGUUUGAUUCUAGAGCGUUUAUAUGUUGACGAAGCUAGAAAUUGGGUGGAUUUCGAGGUCAUUGUCAUCGCAGCUGCACCGUCACGAUGGCAACAACCCUGCCGACGACUUGUAUACGACCAUAACCACGGUGUUCACUACCCCACGUGAACAGCAACACACACACGACAGUGUACUUCGAGAAUUCCUCAAGCAGUAUCACCAAUUGGACAGCAUCAACAAAGAAUUCCCCAAACGGCACUUCGAAAUUAUUAAAAAGUUUGGGGGAAAUCAUUUCUUUCGGAGAAAUGAUGUGGCAAAUUUGAAAAAUCAGAAACUAUGUUUUCCAGACAUGAUUGAAAAUGUGAAUUGGUGAGAAUUGGUGGCGGAGCCAUUUGUCUGGGGUUUGCAUUUGGGGAUGGCGAGUGGGGUAGGCAAGUUGAGGUUGGGGUUUGUGCAG
RNAcentral lists this long non-coding RNA (608 nucleotides) under Olea europaea subsp. europaea. Lineage: Eukaryota; Viridiplantae; Streptophyta; Magnoliopsida; Lamiales; Oleaceae. The record is from RNAcentral.